AGAGUUUGAUCCUGGCUCAGGACGAACGCUGGCGGCGUGCCUAACACAUGCAAGUCGAACGGAACUGUUUUGAAAGAUUUCUUCGGAAUGAAUUUGAUUUAGUUUAGUGGCGGACGGGUGAGUAACGCGUGAGUAACCUGCCUUCAAGAGGGGGAUAACAUUCUGAAAAGAAUGCUAAUACCGCAUGACAUAUCGGAACCACAUGGUUCUGAUAUCAAAAGAUUUUUAUCGCUUGAAGAUGGACUCGCGUCCGA
Molecule: ribosomal RNA, 254 nt
Filed under: uncultured bacterium
Lineage: Bacteria
Description: partial 16S ribosomal RNA
Rfam family: Bacterial small subunit ribosomal RNA
Source: RNAcentral